AUGGGCGAAAGCCUGAUCCAGCAAUGCCGCGUGUGUGAAGAAGGCCUUCGGGUUGUAAAGCACUUUUGUCCGGAAAGAAAUCCUUGGCUCUAAUACAGUCGGGGGAUGACGGUACCGGAAGAAUAAGCACCGGCUAACUACGUGCCAGCAGCCGCGGUAAUACGUAGGGUGCGAGCGUUAAUCGGAAUUACUGGGCGUAAAGCGUGCGCAGGCGGUUUGCUAAGACCGAUGUGAAAUCCCCGGGCUCAACCUGGGAACUGCAUUGGUGACUGGCAGGCUAGAGUAUGGCAGAGGGGGGUAGAAUUCCACGUGUAGCAGUGAAAUGCGUAGAGAUGUGGAGGAAUACCGAUGGCGAAGGCAGCCCCCUGGGCCAAUACUGACGCUCAUGCACGAAAGCGUGGGGAGCAAACAGGAUUAGAUACCCUGGUAGUCCACGCCCUAAACGAUGUCAACUAGUUGUUGGGGAUUCAUUUCCUUAGUAACGUAGCUAACGCGUGAAGUUGACCGCCUGGGGAGUACGGUCGCAAGAUUAAAACUCAAAGGAAUUGACGGGGACCCGCACAAGCGGUGGAUGAUGUGGAUUAAUUCGAUGCAACGCGAAAAACCUUACCUACCCUUGACAUGGUCGGAAUCCUGCUGAGAGG
This 644-nucleotide ribosomal RNA is filed under the name Burkholderia cepacia. RNAcentral describes it as "bacterial SSU rRNA". It matches the Rfam family "Bacterial small subunit ribosomal RNA", at positions 371 to 1008 of the family's 1533-position model. The record is from RNAcentral. Lineage: Bacteria; Pseudomonadati; Pseudomonadota; Betaproteobacteria; Burkholderiales; Burkholderiaceae.